This is a long non-coding RNA of Amblyraja radiata (thorny skate), 1775 nucleotides long. RefSeq lists it as uncharacterized. The record is from RefSeq and is a predicted model, not a curated record. The transcript is spliced from 2 exons. Lineage: Eukaryota; Metazoa; Chordata; Chondrichthyes; Rajiformes; Rajidae.
GGUUAAACGGCUUGGUAUAAAUGUAAAAUUGUCCCUAGUGUGUGUAGGAUAGUGUUAGUGGGCGGGGAUCGCUGGUCGGCACACUGACCCGGUGGGUCGAAGUGCCUGUCUCAGCGCUGGAUCUCUAGCCUUACCUAAACUAAAUUGUCAUGGAGACGGGCGGAUGUGCUGCCGAGCUGGGAGAGGCCAGGCCUGUCUCCCACCGUGAGAGGAGCGAGGGGCGAAUGAAUGGGUGGUUUAUUCGUAGGUUGAGCUUCGCCAGUGUUUACGCGCCCUUCCCGGAGGGUUUCCCGCCUUCCCCAACACCGGGUUGAGGAUCGUGGUGUCCCAAACAGCAGCACGGGAGGAGGGCGCUGCCUUGAGGCGCCUCCGUGCAAACCGUCUCCGUCUGCCAGCAGUCUCGGUGGCCGAGCGAUCCGCUCCAGUUUAGUUUAUUGUCACGUGUACCGAGGUACAGUGAAAAGCUUUUGUUGCAUGCCAAUCAGUCAGCCAUUGCCGUUCUCACCCCCCCAUCCCCCUGAGCGCUGCGGACAUGGUUGACUCAAGGAUCUGCAGACGCCGGUUUACCAAAAAAAAAGACACAGAGUGCUGGAGUAAUUUGGCGGUCCACGCAGCAUCUCCGGAGGACGUGGAGAGGCUACGUUUUGGGUUGGGGCCCUUCUUCAUGGCAACGGUCGGCGUGUUUGAUCUCAUCGUUAUCGCACUCUUCACGUAGCCUCACCGUUUAAUCUUCGACCCCAGUCUCGGUGCUGGAGCAGCAGAGAGUCACAGUGCCCCCGUCACCUCUCCUCCGUCUCUCUAGAGGCUGCAGGAGGGGAACGCCGUCCAUCCCAACCCGCCAUGGGACAACAUACCCCCUGUGGAUGCCACCACUCCUAACACCAUGGGGAAAGGACUUGCUGACCGUUGCGCCCAAGCCGAGAGAUGACCCUGCUGUUCAAUACAAUUUGAGCUCACGGGCCACUUUUCUCCCACUUCCGUCGUCACAACCCUUCCCCUUUUCCUAGAGAUUCCUGUGGAAAAACCUAAAGGAAAAUAAUUGCUUUCGGAAGAAGUUGCUCUUGGCAAACCUGCCUCUCGGUGAAAAUGUGGAAACGAGGAACUGCAGGUGCUAGUUCAUACCAUAAAUAGGCGCGCAGUGCUGGUGUAACUCAGUGGGGUCAUGCAGCAUCUCUGGACUUCUUCCAGCACAUUGCGUCUGCCUCUCAGUGAGGUGGCCAUGUCUCUGAACGAGGUUGCCAAUGAGGAUGGUCCAGACUUUCCCCUUCCCAUUCACCGUCUACCCCUGGGGCCAGGGAGUGACGUCUCCAGUCCGAGUUACAUCGGGGGGGGGAAGAUGAUCAGACGUGGACAAAAUCUCCUCGGGAAAUGCGGCCUACCCACAAUGGCGCAGCGGGUAGAACCACUGCCUCGUAGCACCAGGGAUCCCGGGUUCGAUCCCAACCUUGGCUGCUGUCUGUGCGUGGAGUUUUCACGCGACUUACCUCGUGGGCUCGGUGGGCCAAAGGGCCCGUUCUCUUGCUGUAUUGAUCAAUUUGAACUUGAAGGGGAUCGUGUUCAAUGGUCUGAAGAAGCCUCUUAAUGUGCUUGGUUCAUUCUAGUUCUUUUGCUUCCAUCUGAUUCACAGCAGUGACAACAACCCGUUCCGUUGGGACAGAUUUGGAACGAGAGCCCGAGAAACAAACUUGCUUUCACCCGCACAAUAAAAACACAACACUCCUGCCACCAAUCUCAAGCAAGCAAUCACAUUCCUCUCUGGCCUCUAUCUGCACAAU